UAGGGAAUCUUCCACAAUGGGCGAAAGCCUGAUGGAGCAACGCCGCGUGUGUGAUGAAGGGUUCCGGCUCGUAAAACACUGUUGUAAGAGAAGAAUGACAUUGAGAGUAACUGUUCAAUGUGUGACGGUAUCUUACCAGAAAGGAACGGCUAAAUACGUGCCUG
Molecule: ribosomal RNA, 164 nt
Filed under: uncultured bacterium
Lineage: Bacteria
Description: partial 16S ribosomal RNA
Rfam family: Bacterial small subunit ribosomal RNA
Source: RNAcentral